GGGAAUCUUCGGCAAUGGACGAAAGUCUGACCGAGCAACGCCGCGUGAGUGAAGAAGGUUUUCGGAUCGUAAAACUCUGUUGUUAGAGAAGAACAAGGACGUUAGUAACUGAACGUCCCCUGACGGUAUCUAACCAGAAAGCCACGGCUAACUACGUGCCAGCAGCCGCGGUAAUACGUAGGUGGCAAGCGUUGUCCGGAUUUAUUGGGCGUAAAGCGAGCGCAGGCGGUUUCUUAAGUCUGAUGUGAAAGCCCCCGGCUCAACCGGGGAGGGUCAUUGGAAACUGGGAGACUUGAGUGCAGAAGAGGAGAGUGGAAUUCCAUGUGUAGCGGUGAAAUGCGUAGAUAUAUGGAGGAACACCAGUGGCGAAGGCGGCUCUCUGGUCUGUAACUGACGCUGAGGCUCGAAAGCGUGGGGAGCAAACAGGAUUAGAUACCCUGGUAGUCCACGCCGUAAACGAUGAGUGCUAAGUGUUGGAGGGUUUCCGCCCUUCAGUGCUGCAGCAAACGCAUUAAGCACUCCGCCUGGGGAGUACGACCGCAAGGUUGAAAC
Molecule: ribosomal RNA, 552 nt
Filed under: uncultured bacterium
Lineage: Bacteria
Description: partial 16S ribosomal RNA
Rfam family: Bacterial small subunit ribosomal RNA
Source: RNAcentral